RNAcentral lists this ribosomal RNA (495 nucleotides) under uncultured bacterium. Its description in RNAcentral is "partial 16S ribosomal RNA". It matches the Rfam family "Bacterial small subunit ribosomal RNA", at positions 28 to 507 of the family's 1533-position model. The record is from RNAcentral.
GACGAACGCUGGCGGCGUGCCUAAUACAUGCAAGUAGAACGCUGAAGGAGGAGCUUGCUUCUCUGGAUGAGUUGCGAACGGGUGAGUAACGCGUAGGUAACCUGCCUUGUAGCGGGGGAUAACUAUUGGAAACGAUAGCUAAUACCGCAUAAGAGUAGCUGUUGCAUGACAUUUGCUUAAAAGGUUCAAUUGCAUCACUACCAGAUGGACCUUCGUUGUAUUAGCUAGUUGGUGAGGUAACGGCGCACCAAGGCAACGAUACAGCGGCGAACGGAGAGGGGGAGCAGCCACACUGGGAGGGAGACAGGGCCCAGACGCCUACGGGAAGCAGCAGUAGGGAAUCGUCGGCAAUGGACGGAAGUCAGACCGAGCAAGGCCGCGUGAGGGAAGAAGGUUGUCGGAUCGUAAAGCUCUGUUGUAAGAGAAGAACGAGUGUGAGAGUGGAAAGUUCACACUGUGACGGUAUCUGACCAGAAAGGGACGGCUAACUACGUG